RNAcentral lists this unclassified non-coding RNA (344 nucleotides) under soil metagenome. RNAcentral's name for it is "partial contains 5.8S ribosomal RNA, internal transcribed spacer 2, and large subunit ribosomal RNA". The stretch from base 1 to 120 matches the Rfam family "5.8S ribosomal RNA", at positions 35 to 154 of the family's 154-position model. The record is from RNAcentral.
GAUGAAGAACGUAGCGAAAUGCGAUACGUAAUGUGAAUUGCAGAAUUCAGUGAAUCAUCGAGUCUUUGAACGCACAUUGCGCCACCUGGUACUCCGGGGGGCAUGCCUGUCCGAGCGUCAUUGCUGCCCUCAAGCACGGCUUGUGUGUUGGGCCUCCGUCCUCCUCCCGGGGGACGGGCCCGAAAGGCAGCGGCGGCACCGCGUCCGGUCCUCGAGCGUAUGGGGCUUCGUCACCCGCUCUUGUAGGCCCGGCCGGCGCUUGCCGACACAUCAAUCUUUUUUCCAGGUUGACCUCGGAUCAGGUAGGGAUACCCGCUGAACUUAAGCAUAUCAUAAGCGGAGGA